CCAGGAGGCACAGGCUGGGUCCUCGGGUCCUGAGGACCCUAAUCAGGCAAGCUGGGAUCAAGGACUCUGAGUACAGUGCUGCCAACAGAGGGAGAAAAAGAAAUGACAGAAGCCAAAACAGUCGUGUCUGUCUGGCCUGCCAGCCACAACCAUGUGAGGGCAUCGAGAUGGAUGUGGGACCAGCCUGGGCAGAGCCCUCCAAAGGAUGGCUGUGAUCAGGCCCUCACAAGAAAGCGCAAAGCAGGAAACGAUUGCAAUGUAGCCUACAUACAGAAAUAUGUCUGUAAGUGGACAGCUCAGUGCGUCUAUAUCCAUGUAAGCAGCACCCAGACAAAGAAUUAGUACAUCACCAGCACCCCUGAAGCCUUCCUACUCCUCCCAGUUGCUAAGGCCAACAAAGGAACCACUAUCCUGACUUCUAACAUUGCAGAUUGGUUUUGCCUGUUUCUGAGCUUGAUAUAAAUGGGAUUUCACAGUA
This is a long non-coding RNA of Hyaena hyaena (striped hyena), 478 nucleotides long. RefSeq lists it as uncharacterized. Lineage: Eukaryota; Metazoa; Chordata; Mammalia; Carnivora; Hyaenidae. The transcript has 2 exons. The record is from RefSeq and is a predicted model, not a curated record.